Molecule: long non-coding RNA, 386 nt
Filed under: Mytilus galloprovincialis (Mediterranean mussel)
Lineage: Eukaryota; Metazoa; Mollusca; Bivalvia; Mytilida; Mytilidae
Source: RNAcentral
UACAUAUGAGCCCGACUUUUUAGGGAUACCAAAACACUUGUUGUGUUGUUGUUUCAUCUUCAAAUAUGUCAUGACAACGAAUGCAUUGUCGUUAACCUUUGAGAAAGAUGUUCAUCCAACAUCCGGAAGAGCUAAUACAGUUUUCGUUUUUGAACAUUUCUGGUUGGCAACGUUUUUAAUGAUAACAAUGUUGUUUUUCAUUUCAACAUCAUCCUUCCUCGUUUUGUUGUUUUUGUCCUGAUUUCUUUCACGAGUUUGUUCACACUGUCUGCAAACUAUAUUCGAAUUCGAAGAUUUGCGUCUGAUUAUUUUCCAAAACUUUCACGUCUUAUAUAAAAUCUUGGUUGAUGAUGAGAUUAUGGAUGGCUGACAGUUUUAAUUUCAUG